UACGUAGGGUGCGAGCGUUGUCCGGAAUUAUUGGGCGUAAAGAGCUCGUAGGCGGCUCGUCGCGUCGACCGUGAAAACCCGCAGCUUAACUGCGGGCUUGCGGUUGAUACGGGCGGGCUAGAGUUCGGUAGGGGAGACUGGAAUUCCUGGUGUAGCGGUGAAAUGCGCAGAUAUCAGGAGGAACACCGGUGGCGAAGGCGGGUCUCUGGGCUGAUACUGACGCUGAGGAGCGAAAGCGUGGGGAGCGAACAGG
Molecule: ribosomal RNA, 253 nt
Filed under: uncultured bacterium
Lineage: Bacteria
Description: partial 16S ribosomal RNA
Rfam family: Bacterial small subunit ribosomal RNA
Source: RNAcentral